AAUCAUCCGCAAGAGUGAUUUUGAUGUGGUAGAACAGUUGGGGCAUACUCCGUCUAAAAUUUCGAUGUUAUCCUUGUUGUUAUCUUCUGAAUCUCAUUCCAAUGCAUUGAUAAAAUUCUUGAAGACCGCUCAUGUACCUCAGGAGACAUCUGUCGAUCAGUUCGAAAAUUAUGUUGCUAACUUGGCUGUUGACAAUGGCCUAG
Molecule: long non-coding RNA, 203 nt
Filed under: Lathyrus oleraceus (garden pea)
Lineage: Eukaryota; Viridiplantae; Streptophyta; Magnoliopsida; Fabales; Fabaceae
Description: Pisum sativum (pea) long non-coding RNA (PSAT_LNC010284)
Source: RNAcentral